AGAGUUUGAUCCUGGCUCAGGAUGAACGCUAGCGACAGGCCUAACACAUGCAAGUCGAGGGGCAGCGAGCCGUAGCAAUACGGUGUCGGCGACCGGCGAAUGGGUGAGUAACGCGUAUGCAACCUUUCCGCAAAACGGGGACAGCCUUCCGAAAGGGAGAUUAAUACCUGAUGGUCUUGCCGGACCGCAUGGUUUGGCAAGUAAAAAUUUAUUGAUUGCGGGUGGGCAUGCGUCCCAUUAGGCAGUUGGCGGGGUAACGGCCCACCAAACCGACGAUGGGUAGGGGUUCUGAGAGGAAAAUCCCCCACAUUGGAACUGAGACACGGUCCAAACUCCUACGGGAGGCAGCAGUGAGGAAUAUUGGUCAAUGGGCGUAAGCCUGAACCAGCCAAGUCGCGUGCGGGACGAAGGCCCUACGGGUCGUAAACCGCUUUUGUACGGGAAUAAAGUCAGGGACGCGUCCCUGUUUGUAGGUACCGUAAGAAUAAGGAUCGGCUAACUCCGUGCCAGCAGCCGCGGUAAUACGGAGGAUCCGAGCGUUAUCCGGAUUUAUUGGGUUUAAAGGGUGCGCAGGCGGCCUGUUAAGUCAGCGGUGAAAUCUCGGGGCUCAACCCCGGAACUGCCGUUGAUACUGGUAGGCUUGAGUGCGGAUAAGGAUGGCGGAAUGUGUCAUGUAGCGGUGAAAUGCUUAGAUAUGCCACAGAACACCGAUUGCGAAGGCAGCUGUCCGGGCCGUAACUGACGCUGAGGCACGAAAGCGUGGGUAUCGAACAGGAUUAGAUACCCUGGUAGUCCACGCAGUAAACGAUGAUCACUAGCUGUAGGCGAUACGCUGUCUGCGGCCGAGCGAAAGUGUUAAGUGAUCCACCUGGGGAGUACGUUCGCAAGAAUGAAACUCAAAGGAAUUGACGGGGACCCGAAAAAGCGGUGGAGCAUGUGGUUUAAUUCGAAGCAACGCGAAGAACCUUACCAGAUCUUGACAUCCCGAUGACCGCUCUUUAAUCGGAGCUUCUCUUCGGAGCAUCGGAGACAGGU
This 1035-nucleotide ribosomal RNA is filed under the name uncultured Fibrobacter sp. RNAcentral describes it as "bacterial SSU rRNA". It matches the Rfam family "Bacterial small subunit ribosomal RNA", at positions 8 to 1039 of the family's 1533-position model. Lineage: Bacteria; Pseudomonadati; Fibrobacterota; Fibrobacteria; Fibrobacterales; Fibrobacteraceae. The record is from RNAcentral.